GGUUGAUAGGAUGCAGAUGUAAGUGCUGUAAGGCAUUCAGUCGAGCAUUACUAAUCGGUCGAGCUCUU
Molecule: ribosomal RNA, 68 nt
Filed under: Atopobium sp.
Lineage: Bacteria; Bacillati; Actinomycetota; Coriobacteriia; Coriobacteriales; Atopobiaceae
Description: partial 23S ribosomal RNA
Source: RNAcentral